GCUUGUCUCAAAGAUUAAGCCAUGCAUGUCUAAGUAUAAACGAUUUUAUACGUGAAACUGCGAAUGGCUCAUUAUAUCAGUUAUAGUUUAUUUGAUGGUCUUACUACUUGGAUAACCGUAGUAAUUCUAGAGCUAAUACAUGCACAAAUUCCCGUCAGGGAUGUAUUUAUUAGAUUGAAACCAAUGCGGGGUAACCCGGUAUAUGGUGAUUCAUAAUAACUUUCGGAUCGAUCUUCGGAUCGAUGCAUCAUUCAAGUUUCUGCCCUAUCAGCUUUGGAUGGUAGGGUAUUGGCCUACCAUGGCUUUAAC
This 309-nucleotide ribosomal RNA is filed under the name uncultured fungus. Its description in RNAcentral is "partial small subunit ribosomal RNA". It matches the Rfam family "Eukaryotic small subunit ribosomal RNA", at positions 30 to 356 of the family's 1831-position model. The record is from RNAcentral. Lineage: Eukaryota; Fungi.